UACCUCUCAGGAUCACACCUGAAGAGUUUCCAGUACUCUACCAGUCUCGACUACAGGGGGGAGAGUCAAGCAGAAGUAUAUCCAUUCCAUUCCUAGCUUGGUCAGUGGCUAGCGAGCGGAAGACAAUCUGCUACAAGU
This is a small nucleolar RNA of Tachyglossus aculeatus (Australian echidna), 138 nucleotides long. NCBI's taxonomy places the organism in Eukaryota, Metazoa, Chordata, Mammalia, Monotremata, Tachyglossidae. The record is from RefSeq and is a predicted model, not a curated record.